AGAGUCUGAUCACGGCUCAGGAUGAACGUUGGCGAUGUGCCUGAAGUAUGCAAGUCGGACGCCCUGAACUAUUUAUAGUACGGGGAGUGGCAAACGGGUGAGUAACGCGUAGGUAACCUGCCCCAAAGUCGGGGAUAGCCCGCCGAAAGGCGGUGUAAUAUCUGAUAGUCUCUUCUAGCGUAAGCUACGAAGAGUAAAGCCCCGGCGCUUUGGGAGGGGCCUGCGUCCUAUCAGCUUGUUGGUAGUGUAAAAGACUACCAAGGCUAAGACGGGUAGCUGGAGUGAGAGCUUGACCAGCCACAAUUGGGACUGAGACACGGCCCAUACUCCUACGGGAGGCAGCAAUUAGGAAUCUUGCGCAAUGGGGGCAACCCUGACGCAGCGACAUCGCGUGGAGGACGAAGGUCUUAGGAUUGUAAACUCCUUUUCUAUGGGAAGAAUAACUGACGGUACCAUAGGAAUAAGUGCCUGCUAACUACGUGCCAGAAGCAUCGGUGAUGCGUAGGGCGCGAACGUUAUCCGGAUUUAUUGGGCGUAAAGAGAUGCGUAGGCGUUUUAGUAAGUCUUUUGUCAAAUCCCUCAGCUUAACUGAGGACAGGCAUUGGAAACUGCUUUAAUUGAGACAGAGAGAGGUGAAUGGAAUUCCUGGUGGAGCGGCGAAAUGCGUUGAUAUCAGGAGGAACACCAGUGGCGAAGGCGAUUCACUGGCUCUGUUCUGACGCUGAGGCUCGAAAGCGUGGGUAGCAAAACGGAUUAGAUACCCGUGUAGUCCACGCCGUAAACGAUGGAUGCUAGGUGUUUGGUACAACUGUUUCAUUUCUUCGGAUUUGAUUCAGCGGUAUUGAGUGCCGUAGUUAACGCGAUAAGCAUCCCGCCUGAGGACUACGGUCGCAAGGCUAAAACUCAAAUGAAUUGGCGGGGACCCGCACAAGCGGAGGAGCGCGUGGUUUAAUUCGACGUAAUCGAAGAACCUUACCAGGGCUUGACAUAUAGCUGCUAAACCUAUGAAAAUAGGAGUCCUUCGAGGGUGCUAUACAGGUACUGCAUGGCCGUCGUCAGCUCGUGUCGUGAGAUGUAGGGUUAAGUCCCGAAACGAGCGCAACCCCUAUCCUAUGUUAUAAGUGUCUUAGGAGACUGCCUCGGUAAAACGUGGAGGAAGGUGGGGAUGACGACUGGUCCGCAUGGUCCUUAUGUCCUGGGCGACACACGCGCUGCAAUGGUCGGUACAAUGGGAAGCCAAACCGCAAGGUGGAGCAAAUCCUGUAAAACCGGCCUCAGUUCGGAUUGAGGUCUGCAACUCGACCUCAUGAAGUUGGAUUCGCUAGUAAUCGUGGAUCAGCCAUGCCACGGUGAAUACGUUCUCGGGUCUUGCACACACCGCCCGUCAUGUCAUGGAAGUAGGUGAUACCCGAAGGUGUUUUGUUUUCGGAUGGAAUAACGAAGGUAAUGCCUAUGACUGGGAUAAAGUCGUAACAAGGUA
This 1480-nucleotide ribosomal RNA is filed under the name metagenome. RNAcentral's name for it is "bacterial SSU rRNA". It matches the Rfam family "Bacterial small subunit ribosomal RNA". The record is from RNAcentral.